Magnolia sinica is the source of this 546-nucleotide long non-coding RNA. RefSeq lists it as uncharacterized. The record is from RefSeq and is a predicted model, not a curated record. The transcript is spliced from 3 exons. NCBI's taxonomy places the organism in Eukaryota, Viridiplantae, Streptophyta, Magnoliopsida, Magnoliales, Magnoliaceae.
CCUUAAACAAUUUUAUUCAGUUGCCAAAUUGCUAAUUACAUGAUAUAGUUGCAUCAUCUUUAUGUACUCAUUUGUGCUGACUAUCAGUAUAUGAUCAUUUUCCUUGGUCUAGUUUCGACAUUGUUUACCAUUUGUUAUGUAGGAAAGGCCUCACAUGUUUCAAUUUGUUCCUAGCAGAAAACAAGUAAAAGCAGUGAAGAAGCUUCUUAAGAUGAUCGCAUAGAAUAGUAGAAGAAGGCUUGAGGGAGUGCCUGUAUUUACUGCCUAAAAUUUGAAAAUUGCAAUAGCUACAACUGGUGGAAUUAAGUGAGCACACAUCAGCAAAGGGAAACUCCUCCAAGUUUUCGAAGGGGAAACUAUAGAAGAUAUGAAAUAUCAGAACUCGUAAUUGAAAAACAGCUCUAAGUUGGAUGGAUUCCACCCAAAACAGAUGAAUAAUCCAGGAAGUGAUGCAGUCACUGCAGGAUGGUAAUUUUCAAGUUGUGAAGUGUAGAGCAUCUGUUUUCUGCUAUUCUGUAAUCCUAUUCUGAAUAACACAACUAGUAA